RNAcentral lists this ribosomal RNA (394 nucleotides) under Galeommatoidea sp. MN24147. RNAcentral describes it as "partial 16S ribosomal RNA". It matches the Rfam family "Bacterial large subunit ribosomal RNA", at positions 1862 to 2560 of the family's 2925-position model. The record is from RNAcentral. Lineage: Eukaryota; Metazoa; Mollusca; Bivalvia; Galeommatida.
CCCGGUGAAGUUUUAACGGCCGCAGUUAAAAGCUGUGCUAAGGUAGCGUAGUAAGUUGUCCUUUAAAUGGGGAAAGGAAUGAAUGGUUUGACGUGAGGGAGCCUGUCUUUGGAAAGGAGAAAAAAUUUUUCUUUCCAGUGAAAAGCCUGGAAUAAAAAUAAAAGACGAGAAGACCCUUUCGAGCUUGAUUAAGCUUAUGAAAAAUUUUUAAGUGGAAGUUUGGUUGGGGCAACUAAGGAGCAAGUGAAGACUCCUUUAGGAUUGUGGGGAUCCAAAAUUUUUGAAGAAAGAAAAAGCUACCGCAGGGAUAACAGCGUUAUCUUUCCUGAGAGAACAAAUUGAAGGAGGGGUUUGCGACCUCGAUGUUGAAUUAAGGUUUCCGCCAGGCGUAGAG